RNAcentral lists this long non-coding RNA (232 nucleotides) under Nicotiana benthamiana. Its description in RNAcentral is "long non-coding RNA (NBEN_LNC009051)". The record is from RNAcentral. Lineage: Eukaryota; Viridiplantae; Streptophyta; Magnoliopsida; Solanales; Solanaceae.
UUUUCUGUCCAAAGACUAAAAUCAAUGUUGUGCUAGGUAUCUUGUAAUGGGAUUUGCCUAUUUUGAAUCUGAAAACUAAAGUUAAAGUUCAAGUAAAUGUAAGCAUGUGUUAAGUUAGUCCUUGUUCUAUUUUCAGUAAAUUCUUCAGCUGCUACGAUAUCUUCAAACAUAACAGCAUCCCUGUGCUUAACGGCACAAACUUUAAGGAAUGGAAAGAGAACAUUAUGAUCGU